UUCGUUGUAGUUAAACUUAAUGUUUAUUAUAUUUUAUCAGUUUAACAUUGUUGAAGGCUAACGAUAAUUUAUUCUGCAUUAUCUUAGUCAUUAUAUUUCUUACUGGGCCAGUUGAGCUCACCCUUUUGCUUUCAUUGUUCUCUUCAGGAAAUGAGAACAUAGCUGGGACUAGUCGGGGAACGAAGUGACGGUCCAGAUGUUUGCAUUAGUAGUCCUCACUAUUUU
RNAcentral lists this long non-coding RNA (225 nucleotides) under Panax ginseng (ginseng). RNAcentral's name for it is "long non-coding RNA (PGIN_LNC006378)". The record is from RNAcentral. Lineage: Eukaryota; Viridiplantae; Streptophyta; Magnoliopsida; Apiales; Araliaceae.